GACGAACGCUGGCGGCGUGCCUAAUACAUGCAAGUAGAACGCACAGUUUAUACCGUAGCUUGCUACACCAUAGACUGUGAGUUGCGAACGGGUGAGUAACGCGUAGGUAACCUGCCUGGUAGCGGGGGAUAACUAUUGGAAACGAUAGCUAAUACCGCAUAAUAUUGAUUAUUGCAUGAUAAUUGAUUGAAAGAUGCUAUUGCAUCACUACCAGAUGGACCUGCGUUGUAUUAGCUAGUAGGUGAGGUAACGGCUCACCUAGGCGACGAUACAUAGCCGACCUGAGAGGGUGAUCGGCCACACUGGGACUGAGACACGGCCCAGACUCCUACGGGAGGCAGCAGGAGGGAAUCUUCGGCAAUGGACGAAAGUCUGACCGAGCAACGCCGCGGGAGUGAAGAAGGGUUUCGGAUCGUAGAGCUCUGUUGUAAGAGAAGAACGGGUGUGAGAGUGGAAAGUUCACACUGUGACGGUAUCUUACCAGAAAGGGACGGCUAACUACGUG
Molecule: ribosomal RNA, 505 nt
Filed under: uncultured bacterium
Lineage: Bacteria
Description: partial 16S ribosomal RNA
Rfam family: Bacterial small subunit ribosomal RNA
Source: RNAcentral